AUGAUGCUAUGGCAAUAUUUAAAAGGAGCCAAGCCUGCUAACUCAGACAGCAUUUCCAGACCUCCCAUGGAGUGCAUAUUCAUGUACUGGUGCUUUCGUUUCUUUGAAAUAGACUCCCAAAGUGGAAUUUAUGAAACAAAGGCCAGGCGUGGUGGCUCACGUCUGUAAUCCCAGCACUUUGGAAGGCUUAGUCAGGUGGAUCAGCUGAGGUCAGGAGUUCAAGAUCAUCCUGACCAUCACGGUGAAAGCCCACCUCUACUAAAUACAAAACAAAACAAAACAGAAAUGAGCUGCGAGUGGCGGCAUGUGCCUGUAAUCCCAGCUACUUGGGAGGCUGAGACAGGAGAACAGCUUGAACUCAAGAGGCAUAGGUUGCAGUGAGCCCAGAUUGCACCAUUGCACUCCAGCCUGGGCAACAAGAGUGAAACUCCAUCUCAAGAAAAAAAAAAAAUUAUAUGAACUGUUGACUUAAGAUAUUCUUUCACAAUAAUUACAUUUUAUUAAAAUAUUUAUAUUUAUCUACUUUGUGUAUCAGAUAAAAAUAAACAUAUUCUGGCAAAAUUCAAGAAGUCACACACAAUCAUUAAGCACUGCCAGCAUUACACAGGAAUCUGAAUGUUAUUUUACUAUUGUUAUGACUGUUUAUUGUGCUCUUCAUCGGUACCUCCCUUCUGUC
This 676-nucleotide long non-coding RNA is filed under the name Callithrix jacchus (white-tufted-ear marmoset). RNAcentral describes it as "lncRNA (ENSCJAG00000072332.1)". Lineage: Eukaryota; Metazoa; Chordata; Mammalia; Primates; Cebidae. The record is from RNAcentral.